This 357-nucleotide long non-coding RNA is filed under the name Gossypium barbadense (sea-island cotton). RNAcentral's name for it is "long non-coding RNA (GBAR_LNC006688)". The record is from RNAcentral. Lineage: Eukaryota; Viridiplantae; Streptophyta; Magnoliopsida; Malvales; Malvaceae.
ACACAUGGCAGUACAGCCAGCAUUUCGUUUGGUUUUUAACGGACGAGUGACUAGAGGUGAGCAUGGGCUGGGCCAGGUCGGGCUCAAUCAAAAAUACAGGCCUGUUUAUUAGGCUCGGCGCUUUUUUAAACGGGCCAAAAAUACCUUAUCUAAGGCUCAACCCAUUUUUAAACGGGCCUUAUUUUUUUUGUUCAAGCCUAUUUUUCAGACUUAUUUUUUUGCCCAAACCCUCCUACAUUUUGAGUGGGCUUUCGGGCCAGGCCGGGUGGCUCGACCCAUGAUCAGCUCUAGGAGUGACCAAAACAGGAACACUUCAAUUUUAGAGUGAUUAUAUGGGUAGUUUACCCUACAAUAUAU